UCGCUCUUCAACGAGGAAUCCCUAGUAAGCGUAAGUCAUCAGCUUGCGUUGACUACGUCCCUGCCCUUUGUACACACCGCCCGUCGCUACUACCGAUUGAAUGGCUUAGUGAGGUCUUCGGAUCGGCGGUUGAUGAGUAGCAAUAUUCGCCGAUUGCUGAGAAGUUGAUCAAACUUGGUCAUUUAGAGGAAGUAAAAGUCGUAACAAGGUUUCCGUAGGUGAACCUGCGGAAGGAUCAUUAUAAAAUUUUCGUAUAUUUUAUUUUUAAAUAUAUAAAAUUACACAUUCAAAACCCACACUCUUGUAACCAUUUAUAAAAUAUAUUAUAUCUUGCAUAUAAUAAUAAUUAAAAACAACUUUCAACAACGGAUCUCUUGGCUCUCGCAUCGAUGAAGAACGCAGCGAAUUGCGAUAAGUAAUGUGAAUUGCAGAAUUACGUGAAUCAUCGAAUCUUUGAACGCAUAUUGCACUCUCUGGUAAUCCGGGGAGUAUGCCUGUUUGAGGGUCAGUAAAUAAAUUAUCACAAUCGUUAGUUGUGGAAUUGGGCUCUUAUUUCGAAUAGAUUUAUGGCCUUAAAUUUACGUCAUGUGCUUAAUUCGAACCAAACGGAGCAAUAAAACAUUCUCGUUAGACGGAUUACUCACAAGCCAUUACGAUUUUUUGGACGACAAAAAGCACUUUCACGAGCGCGAAGCCCAAGAUCGUAAAUUCAUCCUGACAAAUGACCUCAAAUCAGGCAAGAAUACCCGCUGAACUUAAGCAUAUCAAUAAGCGGAGGAAAAGAAACUAACAAGGAUUCCCCUAGUAACGGCGAGUGAAGAGGGAAGAGCUCAAAUUUUAAAUCCGCCUUGUUCGCAAGGCCGAGUUGUAAUUUGAAGAAGCGUUUUCUUGGGCUCGCUGCCGGUAGAAGUUCUUUGGAGCAGGACAUCAUAGAGGGUGACAAUCCCGUCUGUGACCGGUCGCGCGGUUCAUCUACGAUACGCUUUCAAAGAGUCGAGUUGUUUGGGAUUGCAGCUCCAAAUGGGUGGUAAACAUCACCUAAGGCUAAAUAUUGGCGAGAGACCGAUAGCGAACAAGUACCGUGAGGGAAAGAUGAAAAGAACUUUGAAAAGAGAGUUAAACAGUACGUGAAAUUGUUGAAAGGGAAACGAUUGAAGUCAGUCGUGCUGGCGCGAAAUCAGCUCGACCACUAGGGGAUCACGGGCCGUAGCGAGCCUCAAAACCGUUACGACUUGUGAUUGCUUAGUGGCCUGGUGCACUUUCGUGUCGGCUGGUUAACAUCAAUUUCGAUCGUCAUAAAAAGGCUGGAGGGAUGUGGCUCCUUCGGGAGUGUUGUAACCUUUGGCGGAAUGUGGUGGUCGGGAUUGAGGUUUGCAACGAAUGCCUUCAGGGCUGUUCCACCUGGCCUCUCAUCGGCAUCCUGGCGACGACAGCUUGCUGACGUUGUUAGGAUCAGCCUUCGAACAGGCUAGAGUGUGAGCAAAUUCGUUAAGGAUGUUAACGUAAUGGCUUUAAACGACCCGUCUUGAAACACGGACCAAGGAGUCUAGCAUAUAUGCGAGUGUU
Molecule: small RNA, 1566 nt
Filed under: uncultured Entrophosporaceae
Lineage: Eukaryota; Fungi; Glomeromycota; Glomeromycetes; Entrophosporales; Entrophosporaceae
Description: eukaryotic LSU rRNA
Rfam family: Eukaryotic large subunit ribosomal RNA (bases 723-1566)
Source: RNAcentral